AUUGUUAUAUCAUAGUUCGUUUCUGUGUGUGUAACAUUUUAACGUUGUUUUUCCGUUGUGUCGUUUGUUUUCUCUUAUAUUUGAGUGUGAAUUCACAUUACUAUAAGACGUGUCACGGUACUUUUCUAUCCCAAAUUCAUGUAUUUGGUUUUGAUGUUAUAUUUGUUAUUCUCAUCGGAUUUUGUCUAAUGCUUAGUCCGUUUCUGUGUGUGUUACAUUUUAAUGUUGUGUCGUUGUUCUCCUCUUAUAUUCAAUGCGUUUCCCUCA
Molecule: long non-coding RNA, 267 nt
Filed under: Mytilus galloprovincialis (Mediterranean mussel)
Lineage: Eukaryota; Metazoa; Mollusca; Bivalvia; Mytilida; Mytilidae
Source: RNAcentral